CCGCGGGGCGGCCGCCGCGCAUGCGGGGCUCACACGGCCGCAGCCGGCGCCGCUGCCACUCCCGGGAGCAUGAAGGACCGAACCCAGGAGCUCCGCACGGCCAAGGACAGCGAUGAUGAUGACGAUGUCACUGUCACGGUGGACCGGGAUGGCUUCAUGGAUGAGUUCUUCGAACAGGUGGAGGAGAUCCGAGGCUUCAUCGACAAGAUCUCGGAGAACGUGGAGGAGGUGAAGCGGAAGCACAGCGCCAUCCUGGCCUCCCCCAACCCCGACGAGAAGACGAAGGAGGAGCUGGAGGAGCUCAUGUCCGACAUAAAGAAGACCGCAAACAAAGUUCGCUCCAAGUUAAAGAGCAUCGAGCAGAGCAUCGAGCAGGAGGAAGGCCUCAACCGCUCAUCCGCGGACCUGAGGAUCCGAAAGACACAGCACUCCACGCUGUCCCGCAAGUUUGUGGAGGUCAUGUCCGAGUACAAUGCCACGCAGUCUGACUACCGCGAGCGCUGCAAAGGGCGCAUCCAGAGGCAGCUGGAGAUCACUGGCCGGACCACGACCAGCGAGGAGCUGGAGGACAUGCUGGAGAGCGGAAACCCAGCCAUCUUUGCUUCCGGGAUCAUCAUGGACUCCAGCAUCUCAAAGCAGGCCCUGAGUGAGAUUGAGACGCGGCACAGUGAGAUCAUCAAGCUGGAGAACAGCAUCCGGGAGCUGCACGACAUGUUCAUGGACAUGGCCAUGCUUGUGGAGAGCCAGGGUGCUUCCCCAGAGUCCUACCCUGAAGGGGGCCGGCUGGAGCUCACGGGCGCCGGCCCUGCAGGGGGAGAUGAUCGACAGGAUUGAGUACAACGUGGAACAUUCGGUGGACUAUGUGGAGAGGGCCGUGUCUGACACCAAGAAGGCCGUCAAGUACCAGAGCAAGGCGCGCCGGAAGAAGAUCAUGAUCAUCAUCUGCUGCGUGGUCCUGGGCAUCGUCAUCGCCUCCACCUUCGGAGGCAUCUUCGGGUAGAAGCCACCCCACCUGCCACUCUGCUCCGGACGGUCUGUCUGCCCUCAGGAGGCCCGCUGGCUGCCGCCGCCUUCCGGCUCGGAGCCCCUUCCUUCCCACCCGGUACCGCUCCUUUCUCGGCCGUAGGGCCCUCCGCACCCCCUGCCCUGAGCCGUCGUGUGCAUGAUCUCUGUGACAGUGUGUGUCUGUACCGAGGAGCCAGUGGGGUGGGGGUAGGUCCACAGGGAACAGACUCGGGCCCUGGCCCGGGCCACGUCACCCCUCCCGGGUCGCGCUGCCCAGGAUAGCCAUGCUCCCCUUCCCUUGCCGCCCGCAGUCCCAGUCCAGCCCAGGGUCUGCCCUCUCCCGGGACCAGGGCGCUCGCUAGACCCCCAACCUUGCCUCGUCAACGGCCCAUCCGCCCUGACCUCUGUUCUCUCCAGCUGUCCCCCAAAGCCGAGCCCCCUGAGGGGUGGGGGCCAGCUGGCCACAUGGUGCUGCUUUUCAGGUCAGGGGAGGGGUGGCCCUGAGAGACAGCCCAGCUCUAAGCCUCUAACAGCUCAUCACUGCCAGGGAGGCUCAGGGUGUCGUGGCCAGGUGGCUUCAGGUGGUUUCUGGCUUGGUCAAGACCAGGCUCCCUCCCCGGCCUAGGGGCAGAGGCCAGCAGGUCUUGGCUGCCUCGUCUUCCCUUCCCACAUUCCUACAGCCCCAGGAGCAACCCCUCCGGGCUAUGCCUGACCCCAGGUAACAUUCUAGAGAGGUCGUCUGGUGCCUGGUUUCCAGCCACCCUUAGAGCUCAGGAGGCAGUUGGGGCCCACCGGGCCUCUGCCCUAGCCGAAGCCCACACCCUGGGCCAGCCACCCUCCCCAGCAGGCCUCGUCAGGUUCUCAAGCCAUCGUUGUGUUGCAUGUUUGGGACAGGGGUCCCUGCUCUCUUGUGCCCUGGAAAGUCAGACGUCACCUCAGGCCUACAGUCACGUCCUGCCCUUGCUGUCCCCCCACGGACAUGCCACGUGGGUGUCUGGUGUCCGGGAUGCAGUACUCCACAGCCAGCCAGGGAGGCGGAUCGCCCUCUCCCCAUCUCGGGGCUUCUCCAGUCAGAAGUGUGCCCCCACCCAAGAGCCUGCCCCCUUGCGGACAGGCCGGGAGUGUGCAUGCGAGUGCAUGCGGCAGGGCGCAGGGCGCAGGGCCGCAGCCGGGCCCCGCCUCCCCUCAGCUCUGCUCCUGCCCAGUGACUGUGACCACCGUCUGUAUUGCCUUCUUGAACAGCAACUUCCCUCCCCUCCCUCACCCCCUUUCACCAAAGGUCUUGGUACAACCAGCUGCCCAUUUUGUGAAAUUUUUAUGUAGAAUAAACAUUUGUAUCUGUACCCUGCCUCUGCUCUGGAUUUGUCGCUGUCCCCGUCUUAGAACUUAGGGCUUAGCGUGCAGAGCAUGAACAGGAAGGAGGGACUCGGGCAGAGGAUCCCCCGUCCUCCCUCAGCCUCCAGAUCCUCAGGCCCCUCCACCCCGGCCUGAACGUCUCCACUACUGCUGGAAGCCUGAUGCCCGCUUCUGUAUGUGGGUCCAUAGUUCUCCCCUCCCCCUGCUUUUCCCACAAAUCACAACC
Lutra lutra (Eurasian river otter) is the source of this 2587-nucleotide RNA transcript. It is a transcript of the gene named syntaxin 1A, with no coding region annotated. The record is from RefSeq and is a predicted model, not a curated record. Lineage: Eukaryota; Metazoa; Chordata; Mammalia; Carnivora; Mustelidae. The transcript has 10 exons.